GGAAAUAGCGUGCUUACCAUGCAAGUCGAACGAUGAACCCGAAGCUUGCUUUGGGGGAUUAGUGGCGAACGGGUGAGUAACACGUGAGCAACCUGCCCCUCACUCUGGGAUAAGCGCUGGAAACGGCGUCUAAUACUGGAUACGAGACGCGACCGCAUGGUCAGUGUCUGGAAAGAUUUUUUGGUGGGGGAUGGGCUCGCGGCCUAUCAGCUUGUUGGUGAGGUAAUGGCUCACCAAGGCGUCGACGGGUAGCCGGCCUGAGAGGGUGACCGGCCACACUGGGACUGAGACACGGCCCAGACUCCUACGGGAGGCAGCAGUGGGGAAUAUUGCACAAUGGGCGGAAGCCUGAUGCAGCAACGCCGCGUGAGGGAUGACGGCCUUCGGGUUGUAAACCUCUUUUAGCAGGGAAGAAGCGAAAGUGACGGUACCUGCAGAAAAAGCACCGGCUAACUACGUGCCAGCAGCGGCGGUAAUACUGA
RNAcentral lists this ribosomal RNA (482 nucleotides) under Microbacterium sp. TW49A. Its description in RNAcentral is "bacterial SSU rRNA". It matches the Rfam family "Bacterial small subunit ribosomal RNA", at positions 39 to 529 of the family's 1533-position model. Lineage: Bacteria; Bacillati; Actinomycetota; Actinomycetes; Micrococcales; Microbacteriaceae. The record is from RNAcentral.